GACAGAGGUGCCGAGCGUUAGGCGGAAUCACUGGGCUUAAAGCGUGUGUAGGCGGGCCGUUAAGCGCCCCGUGAAAUCCCCCGGCUCAACCGGGGAACGGCGGGGCGGACUGGCGGCCUUGAGGCACCCAGGGGUCAGCGGAACAGGCGGUGGAGCGGUGAAAUGCGUAGAUAUAGGAAGGAACACCAGUGGCGAAGGCGACCACCUGGACUGAUACUGACACUGAGGUGCGAAAGCGUGGGGAGCAAACAGG
RNAcentral lists this ribosomal RNA (253 nucleotides) under uncultured bacterium. Its description in RNAcentral is "partial 16S ribosomal RNA". It matches the Rfam family "Bacterial small subunit ribosomal RNA", at positions 524 to 776 of the family's 1533-position model. The record is from RNAcentral.